RNAcentral lists this long non-coding RNA (813 nucleotides) under Urocitellus parryii (Arctic ground squirrel). Its description in RNAcentral is "lncRNA (ENSUPAG00010021523.1)". The record is from RNAcentral. Lineage: Eukaryota; Metazoa; Chordata; Mammalia; Rodentia; Sciuridae.
ACUCCCUGUUCGAGAGCACUGCAGCCCCUAGCCGGGACUUCAGCCUAGUAAGGAAGUCACCCGGGACCGCAGUUUAUGAAGUAUUCAGUCCAUGGCGAAUACAGUCCCUGUCCAUCAUGAACCGGGCCUGGCCUGGUCAUCUGGCCCGGUGGCGACGCGCCCCUGCGGUGGGCGUGGGGCGGGGAGUUCAGCCUGCAGGAGUGCCCAGGGCAGCCUCGUGGGGAGGCUGUUCUACUGACACUGGUGCUUCCAUCCCCACGUAGAAGGAUGCGACAACUCCAAGAGGGAAUUCAAAAAUGAAAACAGUCUGCAAAUUUAAAACCAGAACCUGAAACAGCCAACUCAAAGCCCUCACCACAGUUUAAAACCCCUGGGUGAAGUGGAAGAAAUGAAGUGGUUAUUAGCUACAAAGCACCACUGUCAACAUGCCCCACACGGAAAGAUGCCAGUGGACCAGCAUAAGUAACAACCUGCCACCAAGGACUCCAAAGGUUGCAGAAAGCCCCUGGGAGAAGGUUUACCAGAAGUGGCCCUCAAGGGUCUGAGCUUGCCUGCCAAGCUAGCUGCCUUAGCCUUUUUCUGCUGCAGGGGAGACCAGCCGUGGGUGCCUUGGAGGAGGUACCUCCUUCCUUAAGUUAUGGGGAGGCUGAAAGAUACCAUUCAAGUGUUAGAUCAGCCAUGAAAGACGGAACGCACAGCAUGUUGACUGAGGGAYUAUAUCAGGGCUGUAUCACUGAGCAGCUGAGUGUGGUUCCUGUUGGCAUUCAGAAAGGCCACAGACCUCAGGACUGCUGGAUGAGAGGCAUAUCCUAA